RNAcentral lists this ribosomal RNA (428 nucleotides) under uncultured bacterium. Its description in RNAcentral is "partial 16S ribosomal RNA". It matches the Rfam family "Bacterial small subunit ribosomal RNA", at positions 354 to 796 of the family's 1533-position model. The record is from RNAcentral.
GUAGGGAAUAUUGGACAAUGGGGGCAACCCUGAUCCAGCGACGCCGCGUGAGUGACGAAGGCCUUCGGGUCGUAAAGCUCUGUUGCAAGGGAAAAACAAAAUGAUGGUACCUUGCUAGAAAGGAUCGGCUAACUUCGUGCCAGCAGCCGCGGUAAGACGAGGGAUCCUAGCGUUGUCCGGAAUUAUUGGGCGUAAAGCGGGUGUAGGUGGCUUUGUAAGUCAGGUGUGAAAGCCUGGGGCUUAACCCCAGAAGUGCAUUUGAUACUGCGAAGCUUGAGUGCUGGAGAGGCUACUAGAAUUCUUGGUGUAGUGGUGAAAUACGUAGAUAUCAAGAGGAAUACCGGAGGCGAAGGCGGGUAGCUGGCCAGACACUGACACUCAGACCCGAAAGCGUGGGGAUCAAACAGGAUUAGAAACCCUUGUAGUCC